CACAUGUUGGACAGGCAAAACAAAACUCCAUCAGACACAAGUCUAUAUUUAGUCAAUCUAAAGUGCCCCUUAGAUGCUGGAUGCAGUUUAUUUACAGAUUUUCUCAGGGUCUGCGAUUACGACAAAUUGACAUGAUAGAUGAUACCAUUGCAGCCAGUUCAACCACUCUUAGUAAAAUGGCUCAAAAAAUAAGGGGUGUUUGUGUGGCUGCAGUUCGAAGGAUGAGACGGCGUACAGGCCAACAGAUUGGUGGAGUGAGGGAAUUUGUCGUAAUCGAUGAGAGCCAUUUUCGUCACAAAAGAAAGUAUGGAAGAGGAAGAAUGGCCGGUGGGUGGAAAAGAAGAAAGUGGGUCUUUGGAAUGCUGGGUAAAACAUCAGGGAAGGACAAGGCCUAUUUUACGCCUUGUAGAAAAAAGAUCACGAAGACAUCUUGUUCCUGUGAUUGAGCUUCAUGUCAGAAUUGGUUCAUCAGUGAUUAGUGAUGAAUGGCGUGCCUAUCAUAUUCUCUCAGCUCUGGGGUAUGACCAUCAUACUGUCAACCACAGUAGGUGGUAUGUAGAGCCUCAAACCGGUGCUCAUACCCAGCAUCUAGAGAGGGCUUGGAGGUCCUACAAAGAGCGGAUCUGGAGACUAAGAGGAAACCGCAAUGACAGUUUACUUUCUGAACACCUGACAGUGAUUGAGUGGAAUGAAUGGCUUGCAAAAAAACAUCGAAAAGGUGCGCUGGGUAGACUGAUUCAUGACAUUUCAAGAAAAUACAGGUAGUCAUACAAAACCAGGACAAAUGGACUGUCUACUCGUAUGUUUAAUGUUUUACUUGAUUUGUUUGAAUGAUACACUUUUAUUUAGAUAAAACUCUUGAUAGGAAUUGUGUAUUUGCAGCAUUUGUACACAAAAAAAUACAGGUAUCCAGCCAUGUUCUGUAUUUUAUUGACUGGGUCAGUGUAUUGUUUUUUGCAUCUUAAAUAAUUACAGUUCAUUGUGUACUU
This is a long non-coding RNA of Melanotaenia boesemani (Boeseman's rainbowfish), 989 nucleotides long. RefSeq lists it as uncharacterized. The record is from RefSeq and is a predicted model, not a curated record. Lineage: Eukaryota; Metazoa; Chordata; Actinopteri; Atheriniformes; Melanotaeniidae. The transcript is spliced from 3 exons.